RNAcentral lists this transfer RNA (77 nucleotides) under Bacteroides sp. RNAcentral describes it as "tRNA-His(gtg)". It matches the Rfam family "tRNA". Rfam says of the family: Transfer RNA (tRNA) molecules are approximately 80 nucleotides in length. Their secondary structure includes four short double-helical elements and three loops (D, anti-codon, and T loops). The record is from RNAcentral. Lineage: Bacteria; Pseudomonadati; Bacteroidota; Bacteroidia; Bacteroidales; Bacteroidaceae. RNAcentral also lists the same sequence under 7 other names.
GUGACUGUAGUUCAGUUGGUUAGAGCGUCAGAUUGUGGUUCUGAAUGUCGUGGGUUCGAGUCCCAUCAGUCACCCCA